Molecule: small nuclear RNA, 114 nt
Organism: Pyrus x bretschneideri (Chinese white pear)
Lineage: Eukaryota; Viridiplantae; Streptophyta; Magnoliopsida; Rosales; Rosaceae
Product: U5 spliceosomal RNA
Exons: 1
Source: RefSeq, a predicted model, not a curated record
AGCCAUGUGUUGAGCACAAAGCAAACUAUUCUUUCGCCUUUUAUUAAAGACAAUAUGCUCAUUGUUAUAAGUGGCUUGCGUCUAUUUUUGGAGGGGCACACCUCUGUGGGUGCC